GUUACUUCGGUACAUCGGUGACAGGUGGUGCAUGGUUGUCGUCAGCUCGUGUCGUGAGAUGUUGGGUUAAGUCCCGCAACGAGCGCAACCCUAUUGUUAGUUGCCAUCAUUCAGUUGGGCACUCUAGCGAGACUGCCGGUAAUAAACCGGAGGAAGGUGGGAUGACGUCAAAUCAUCAUGCCCCUUAUGACCUGGGCUACACACGUGCUACAAUGGUUGGUACAACGAGUUGCGAGUCGGUGACGGCGAGCUAAUCUCUUAAAGCCAAUCUCAGUUCGGAUUGUAGGCUGCAACUCGCCUACAUGAAGUCGGAAUCGCUAGUAAUCGCGGAUCAGCACGCCGCGGUGAAUACGUUCCCGGGCCUU
Molecule: ribosomal RNA, 365 nt
Filed under: uncultured Streptococcus sp.
Lineage: Bacteria; Bacillati; Bacillota; Bacilli; Lactobacillales; Streptococcaceae
Description: bacterial SSU rRNA
Rfam family: Bacterial small subunit ribosomal RNA
Source: RNAcentral